GAUGAACGCUGGCGGCGUGCCUAAUACAUGCAAGUCGAGCGAACAGACGAGGAGCUUGCUCCUUUGACGUUAGCGGCGGACGGGUGAGUAACACGCGGAUAACCUACCUAUAAGACUGGGAUAACUUCGGGAAACCGGAGCUAAUACCGGAUAAUAUAUUGAACCGCAUGGUUCAAUAGUGAAAGACGGUUUUGCUGUCACUUAUAGAUGGAUCCGCGCCGCAUUAGCUAGUUGGUAAGGUAACGGCUUACCAAGGCGACGAUGCGUAGCCGACCUGAGAGGGUGAUCAGCCACACUGGAACUGAGACACGGUCCAGACUCCUACGGGAGGCAGCAGUAGGGAAUCUUCCGCAAUGGGCGAAAGCCUGACGGAGCAACGCCGCGUGAGUGAUGAAGGUCUUCGGAUCGUAAAGCUCUUUUAUUAGGGAAGAACAAAUGUGUAAGUAACUAUGCACGUCUUGACGGUACCUAAUCAGAAAGCCACGGCUAACUACGUG
This 497-nucleotide ribosomal RNA is filed under the name uncultured bacterium. RNAcentral describes it as "partial 16S ribosomal RNA". It matches the Rfam family "Bacterial small subunit ribosomal RNA", at positions 28 to 507 of the family's 1533-position model. The record is from RNAcentral.